Molecule: ribosomal RNA, 497 nt
Filed under: uncultured bacterium
Lineage: Bacteria
Description: partial 16S ribosomal RNA
Rfam family: Bacterial small subunit ribosomal RNA
Source: RNAcentral
GAUGGACGCUGGCGGCGUGCCUAAUACAUGCAAGUCGAGCGAACAGACGAGGAGCUUGCUCCUCUGACGUUAGCGGCGGACGGGUGAGUAACACGUGGAUAACCUACCUAUAAGACUGGGAUAACUUCGGGAAACCGGAGCUAAUACCGGAUAAUAUAUUGAACCGCAUGGUUCAAUGGUGAAAGACGGUUUUGCUGUCACUUAUAGAUGGAUCCGCGCCGCAUUAGCUAGUUGGUAAGGUAACGGCUUACCAAGGCAACGAUGCGUAGCCGACCUGAGAGGGUGAUCGGCCACACUGGAACUGAGACACGGUCCAGACUCCUACGGGAGGCAGCAGUAGGGAAUCUUCCGCAAUGGGCGAAAGCCUGACGGAGCAACGCCGCGUGAGUGAUGAAGGUCUUCGGAUCGUAAAACUCUGUUAUUAGGGAAGAACAAAUGUGUAAGUAACUAUGCACGUCUUGACGGUACCUAAUCAGAAAGCCACGGCUAACUACGUG